RNAcentral lists this ribosomal RNA (285 nucleotides) under uncultured Actinomycetales bacterium. RNAcentral's name for it is "partial 16S ribosomal RNA". It matches the Rfam family "Bacterial small subunit ribosomal RNA", at positions 506 to 787 of the family's 1533-position model. The record is from RNAcentral. Lineage: Bacteria; Bacillati; Actinomycetota; Actinomycetes; Actinomycetales.
UGCCAGCAGCCGCGGUUAUACGUAGGGUGCGAGCGUUGUCCGGAAUUAUUGGUGCGUAAGGAGCUUGUAGUCGGUUUGUCGCGUCUGCUGUGAAAGCCCGGGGCUUAACCCCGGGUCUGCAGUGGGUACGGGCAGGCUAGAGUGUGGUAGGGGAGACUGGAAUUCCUGGUGUAGCGGUGGAAUGCGCAGAUAUCAGGAGGAACACCGAUGGCGAAGGCAGGUCUCUGGGCCACUACUGACGCUGAGAAGCGAAAGUCGUCGGGGAGCGAACAGGAUUAGAUACCU